GCACGAAGGCUCAGUAGUUGUGGCUCACAGGCUCUAGAGUGCAGGCUCAGUAGUUGUGGCACACUGGCUUAGUUGCUCUGUGGCCUGUGGGAUCUUCCCCGAAAAGGGCUUGAACUGGUGUCCCUUGCGAUGGCAGGCAGAUUCUUAACCACUGUGCCACCAGGGAAGUCCUGGAAUUUGAGUAGUGAGGAACAAGGAG
This is a long non-coding RNA of Aethalodelphis obliquidens (Pacific white-sided dolphin), 199 nucleotides long. RefSeq lists it as uncharacterized. The record is from RefSeq and is a predicted model, not a curated record. Lineage: Eukaryota; Metazoa; Chordata; Mammalia; Artiodactyla; Delphinidae. The transcript is spliced from 3 exons.